RNAcentral lists this ribosomal RNA (345 nucleotides) under Clostridioides difficile. RNAcentral describes it as "bacterial LSU rRNA". It matches the Rfam family "Bacterial large subunit ribosomal RNA", at positions 2534 to 2881 of the family's 2925-position model. Lineage: Bacteria; Bacillati; Bacillota; Clostridia; Peptostreptococcales; Peptostreptococcaceae. The record is from RNAcentral.
GGCUCAUCACAUCCUGGGGCUGUAGUAGGUCCCAAGGGUUGGGCUGUUCGCCCAUUAAAGUGGUACGCGAGCUGGGUUCAGAACGUCGUGAGACAGUUCGGUCCCUAUCCGUCGCAGGCGUAGGAAAUUUGAGAAGACCUGUCCUUAGUACGAGAGGACCGGGAUGGACGUACCUCUGGUGUACCAGUUGUCCUGCCAAGGGCAUGGCUGGGUAGCUAUGUACGGAAUGGAUAAGCGCUGAAAGCAUCUAAGCGCGAAGCCAACUUCAAGAUAAGAUUUCCCACCGCAAGGGUAAGACCCCAGAAAGACUAUCUGGUUGAUAGGUCGAAGGUGUAAGUGCAGCAA